AAUAAUAGGGGAAGGGAAGAAAAGGG
This 26-nucleotide non-coding RNA is filed under the name Cricetulus griseus (Chinese hamster). The record is from RNAcentral. Lineage: Eukaryota; Metazoa; Chordata; Mammalia; Rodentia; Cricetidae.